This 207-nucleotide ribosomal RNA is filed under the name uncultured bacterium. Its description in RNAcentral is "partial 16S ribosomal RNA". It matches the Rfam family "Bacterial small subunit ribosomal RNA", at positions 568 to 774 of the family's 1533-position model. The record is from RNAcentral.
CGCGUAGGCGGCUCGAUAAGUCAAAGGUGAAAUCCCUCGGCUCAACUGAGGAACUGCCUUUGAAACCGUCGAGCUCGAGUCCAGGAGGGGGUAGCGGAAUUCCCAGUGUAGCGGUGAAAUGCGUAGAUAUUGGGAGGAACACCAGUGGCGAAGGCGGCUACCUGGACCGGUUCUGACGCUGAUGCGCGAAAGCGUGGGUAGCAAACA